UACGAAGGGGGCUAGCGUUGUUCGGAAUUACUGGGCGUAAAGGGCGCGUAGGCGGUACUUCAAGUCAGGCGUGAAAGCCCCGGGCUCAACCUGGGAACCGCGCUUGAGACUGGAGAACUAGAGUUCGGGAGAGGAUGGUGGAAUUCCCAGUGUAGAGGUGAAAUUCGUAGAUAUUGGGAAGAACACCGGUGGCGAAGGCGGCGACCUGGUCCUUGACUGACGCUGAGGCGCGAAAGCGUGGGGAGCAAACAGG
RNAcentral lists this ribosomal RNA (253 nucleotides) under uncultured bacterium. RNAcentral describes it as "partial 16S ribosomal RNA". It matches the Rfam family "Bacterial small subunit ribosomal RNA", at positions 524 to 776 of the family's 1533-position model. The record is from RNAcentral.